GGAAGUAAAAGUCGUGACAAGGUUUCCGUAGGUGAACCUGCGGAAGGAUCAUUACAGAGUUCAUGCCCUCACGGGUAGAUCUCCCACCCUUGAAUAUUUAUACCUUAGUUGCUUUGGCAGGCCGUGGAAACACCAUGGGCUCCGGCUUAUGCGUGCCUGCCAGAGGAAACAAACUCUGUUUUUAGUGAUGUCUGAGUACUAUAUAAUAGUUAAAACUUUCAACAACGGAUCUCUUGGUUCUG
RNAcentral lists this unclassified non-coding RNA (242 nucleotides) under plant metagenome. RNAcentral's name for it is "partial contains small subunit ribosomal RNA, internal transcribed spacer 1, and 5.8S ribosomal RNA". The stretch from base 1 to 54 matches the Rfam family "Eukaryotic small subunit ribosomal RNA", at positions 1778 to 1831 of the family's 1831-position model. The record is from RNAcentral.